Molecule: ribosomal RNA, 253 nt
Filed under: uncultured bacterium
Lineage: Bacteria
Description: partial 16S ribosomal RNA
Rfam family: Bacterial small subunit ribosomal RNA
Source: RNAcentral
UACGUAGGGUGCGAGCGUUAAUCGGAAUUACUGGGCGUAAAGCGUGCGCAGGCGGUUCGUUAAGUCAGAUGUGAAAGCCCCGGGCUCAACCUGGGAACCGCGCUUGAGACUGGCAUGCUCGAGUUCGGGAGAGGAUGGUGGAAUUCCCAGUGUAGAGGUGAAAUUCGUAGAUAUUGGGAAGAACACCGAUGGCGAAGGCAGCCAUCUGGACCGACACUGACGCUGAGGCGCGAAAGCGUGGGUAUCAAACAGG